Lutra lutra (Eurasian river otter) is the source of this 914-nucleotide long non-coding RNA. RefSeq lists it as uncharacterized. The record is from RefSeq and is a predicted model, not a curated record. The transcript is spliced from 3 exons. NCBI's taxonomy places the organism in Eukaryota, Metazoa, Chordata, Mammalia, Carnivora, Mustelidae.
AUGUCGCGGUGACUUUUUGUCCCAGAUUUGCGGUGAGGAAAACUAGUGUCACAGAAUAGACCGCCCCAUAUAGUCUUACAUUCCUACUUUGAAAUAUUAUUUCUCAGAACUGUAGUCAAGAUGCUUAACUUUUGUUGGAUCUCACUGUUCUCAUCUCUGCAUGAGCGGCUGAAAUAAACCUUAGGGAAGAAAAGGGAGAGAAGUUCUAAAGUUUCAUCUGGUUGAAAGUCUUGGUGGUUUAAUCUGUGGCACCUCUCAGACCUCACAGAGAAGCCUGGGGCUCGAACUCCCAACCCUGAGACCAAGCAUGACAUGCUUCACAGUCUGAGCAAGACUCCAGGAACGGAGUCUUGCAGAUAGGGGAAGAAGAUUGCCGGCGGAGACGAGAGCACGAACCCUAAGAGAGAGAGAGCACAUGCAAAGGGGACAGCGGCCGGUGGAAGGAGCAGCAGACUCUCUGCUGAGCAGAGAACCGUAUGCAGGACUCCAUCCCGGGACCCUGGGAUCAUAACCCUGGCUGAAGGCAGAUGAUUAACUAACUGAGCCACCCAGGUGUCUCCCCCCCGCCUUUUUUUAGGUGCCUCCUUUUAAAGAACACUCAGGAUCAAGGACAGUGUCUUCUUUCAUCACUAAAACUUGUUUCCGGUGAGUAUAGGUUACAUAUGGCCUCAUAAUUUAUCUCAAAAUAUUUUAGUGUUUUGCCAAUUUCUAUACAAACAGAAAAUGCAAUAAAACUUUGAUAAAUUUAUUACUAGCUUAUUUAUUUAAAAAAAAAGACAAAGCUAGACCUUUGGUCAUAGAACUUCCAAGUUUUUUUUUCUGUGUGAAGCAAUUUAUACCACAUUAUUGUCAAUUAAUUUUUAUUUUAUGAACUCACAGCUCCAAGCAAUUAUAUAUCAAAGGCAUUCUUUGUA